RNAcentral lists this ribosomal RNA (468 nucleotides) under uncultured bacterium. Its description in RNAcentral is "partial 16S ribosomal RNA". It matches the Rfam family "Bacterial small subunit ribosomal RNA", at positions 28 to 507 of the family's 1533-position model. The record is from RNAcentral.
GACGAACGCUGGCGGCGUGCUUAACACAUGCAAGUCGAACGGAAAGGCCCUGCUUUUGCGGGGUGCUCGAGUGGCGAACGGGUGAGUAACACGUGAGUAACCUGCCCUUGACUUUGGGAUAACUUCAGGAAACUGGGGCUAAUACCGGAUAGGAGCUCCUGCUGCAUGGUGGGGGUUGGAAAGUUUCGGCGGUUGGGGAUGGACUCGCGGCUUAUCAGCUUGUUGGUGGGGUAGUGGCUUACCAAGGCUUUGACGGGUAGCCGGCCUGAGAGGGUGACCGGCCACAUUGGGACUGAGAUACGGCCCAGACGCCUACGGGAGGCAGAAGUGGGGAAUAUUGCACAGUGGGCGGGAGCCUGAUGCGGCAACGCCGCGUGCGGGAUGACGGCCUUCGGGUUGUAAACCGCUUUCGCCUGUGACGAAGCGUGGGUGACGGUAAUGGGUAAAGAAGCACCGGCUAACUACGUG